AAGCUCGUAGUUGAAUUUCGGGAUCAAAUUGUCGGUCGUGCCUCGGUACGUACUGGCAUUAUUGGUUCCUCCCUUCUGAAGAACCGCGAUGUCAUUAAUUUGGUGUCGCGGGGAAUCAGGACUGUUACUUUGAAAAAAUUAGAGUGUUUAAAGCAGGCUCGCGCUUGAAUACAUUAGCAUGGAAUAAUGAAAUAGGACGUUUGAUUCUAUUUUGUUGGUUUCUAGGAUCGACGUAAUGAUUAAUAGGGAUAGUUGGGGGCAUUAGUAUUCAAUUGUCAGAGGUGAAAUUCUUGGAUUUAUUGAAGACUAACUACUGCGAAAGCAUUUGCCAAGGAUGUUUUCAUUAAUCAAGAACGAAAGUUAGGGGAUCGGAGACGAUCAGAUACCGUCGUAGUCUUAACCAUAAACUAUGCCGACUAGGGAUCGGAUGAUGUUAAUUUUUUAAUGACUCAUUCGGCGCCUUACGGGAAACCAAAGUGUUUGGGUUCCGGGGGGAGUAUGGUCGCAAGGCUGAAACUUAAAGGAAUUGACGGAAGGGCACCACCGGGGGUGGAGCCUGCGGCUUAAUUUGACUCAACACGGGGAAACUCACCAGGUCCAGACAUAGUAAGGAUUGACAGAUUGAGAGCUCUUUCUUGAUUCUAUGGGUG
Molecule: ribosomal RNA, 650 nt
Filed under: uncultured Glomus
Lineage: Eukaryota; Fungi; Glomeromycota; Glomeromycetes; Glomerales; Glomeraceae
Description: SSU rRNA
Rfam family: Eukaryotic small subunit ribosomal RNA
Source: RNAcentral